AUGGCCAAAUAUUGGUGGGGGAGUUCCAUUGACAAAAGAUCCGUACAUUGGUUGGCGUGGGAUAAGUUGACAGAGCCAAAAAUCAAAGGAGGUCUAGACUUUCGGGAUCCCCAAAUGUUCAAUCUAGCAAUGCUUGGAAAGCAAGGCUGGCGCAUACUGACCAAACCAGAUUCUUUGUGCUCUAGAGUGUUGAAGGGAAAGUACUUCCCACACCCAAAUUUUCUCCAAGCCUCGGUGCCUAGGGGAGCAUCCUCUACCUGGAAAGCUAUCAUUGCAGGCAGAACGGCGUUGGAGAGGGGCCUGAUCCACCGAAUAGGAGAUGGAUCAUCUAUAUCCAUUUGGGAUGAUCCUUGGAUCCCAAAUGUAGUCACAAUGAAACCGACUGGUAGGUUAGGGGUGGCGCCCCUACACACUGUCUCAGAGCUGAUAGAUGACUACACUGGGAGUUGGAAUGUCAGUUUGGUCCGCCAAAUUUUUCUUCAUCCCGAUGCUGAGGCCAUUCUUAAUAUACCCUUGAACAGAUCUGGUGGGGAAGAUAGUUUGGCGUGGUCGUUGGAAAAGUCGGGUAACUACACUGUAAAAUCAGCGUAUCGCUCUCUCAUGACUCGGAACGAGCUUAGUUCUCUAGAGGAAGGGACGAUUACGGACACUUCAUCAGCAAAUAAACAGCUGUGGACCGCACUUUGGAAAUUACGGGUGGUGCCGAAGGUUAGGGUUUUCUGGUGGAGGGUUUUGCGUGGUAUCCUGCCAGACUACAUGACUCUACAGCACCGUCACAUCAAGCCACUUGGCCGCUGCGAUCUUUGCAAGGCCAUGAAUGAAGACUUAAUGCAUGCACUCAUCUCAUGCUCACAUGCUGUAACGCCCUCGAUGCGGCUAUAG
This 882-nucleotide ribosomal RNA is filed under the name Triticum aestivum (bread wheat). RNAcentral describes it as "partial small subunit ribosomal RNA". Lineage: Eukaryota; Viridiplantae; Streptophyta; Magnoliopsida; Poales; Poaceae. The record is from RNAcentral.